Molecule: non-coding RNA, 28 nt
Filed under: Rattus norvegicus (Norway rat)
Lineage: Eukaryota; Metazoa; Chordata; Mammalia; Rodentia; Muridae
Source: RNAcentral
UAGCAGUUACCUCAAUGAGGACGGGAAG